CUCUACGGCCAUAUUACCCUGAGUAUGCCCGAUCUUGUCUGAUCUGAGAAGCUAAGCAGGGUUGGGCCUGGUUAGUACUUGGAUGGGAGACCAUCUGGAAAUAACACGUGCCAUAGGCU
RNAcentral lists this ribosomal RNA (119 nucleotides) under Callithrix jacchus (white-tufted-ear marmoset). The record is from RNAcentral. Lineage: Eukaryota; Metazoa; Chordata; Mammalia; Primates; Cebidae.